This 494-nucleotide ribosomal RNA is filed under the name uncultured bacterium. Its description in RNAcentral is "partial 16S ribosomal RNA". It matches the Rfam family "Bacterial small subunit ribosomal RNA", at positions 28 to 507 of the family's 1533-position model. The record is from RNAcentral.
GACGAACGCUGGCGGCGCGCUUAACACAUGCAAGUCGAACGGAAAGGCCUGCUUUCCCUUGUGGAUUGCGGGUACUCGAGUGGCGAACGGGUGAGUAACACGUGAGUGAUCUGCCCCCAACUUGGGUAUAAGCCUGGGAAACUGGGUCUAAUUCCCGAUAGGACUGCAGGGUGGUGCCUGUGGUGGAAAACGAUUUUCUAGUGGUUGGGGAUGAGCUCGCAGCCUAUCAGCUUGUUGGUGGGGUAAUGGCCUACCAAGGCGGCGACGGGUAGCCGGCCUGGGAGGGUGGACGGCCACAUUGGGACUGAGAUACGGCCCAGACCCCUACGGGAGGCAGCAGUGGGGAAUAUUGCACAAUGGGCGGAAGCCUGAUGCAGCGACGCCGCGUGGGGGAUGACGGCCUUCGGGUUGUAAACUCCUUUCGACCGCGAGGAAGCCACCUGGUUGGAAGGGUGGUGACGGUAGUGGUAGAAGAAGCACCGGCUAACUACGUG